GCCUAAAGCGUCCGUAGCCGGCUCUGUUAGUUUUCGGUUAAAUCCAUAUGCUCAACAUAUGGGCCGCCGGGAAUACUACAAAGCUAGGGAGUGGGAGAGGUAGACGGUACUCCGUAGGAAGGGGUAAAAUCCUUUGAUCUAUGGAUGACCACCAGUGGCGAAGGCGGUCUACCAGAACACGUUCGACGGUGAGGGAUGAAAGCUGGGGGAGCAAACCGGAUUAGAUACCCGGGUAGUCCCAGCUGUAAACUAUGCAAACUCAGUGAUGCAUUGGCUUGUGGCCAGUGCAGUGCCGCAGAGAAGUCGUUAAGUUUGCCGCCUGGGAAGUACGUACGCAAGUAUGAAACUUAAAGGAAUUGGCGGGGGAGCACCACAAGGGGUGAAGCCUGCGGUUCAAUUGGAGUCAACGCCAGAAAUCUUACCCGGAGAGACAGCAGGAUGAAGGUCAAGUUGAAGCCUUUACCAGACAAGCUGAGAAGUGGUGCAUGGCCGUCGCCAGCUCGUGCCGUGAGGUGUCCUGUUAAGUCAGGUAACGAGCGAGAUCCUUGCCUCUAGUUGCCACCAUUACUCUCAGGAGUAGUGGGGCGAAUUAGCGGGACUGCCGUAGUUAAUACGGAGGAAGGAGAGGGCCACGGCAGGUCAGUAUGCCCCGAA
Molecule: ribosomal RNA, 654 nt
Filed under: uncultured archaeon
Lineage: Archaea
Description: bacterial SSU rRNA
Rfam family: Archaeal small subunit ribosomal RNA
Source: RNAcentral